CCCUUAGAUGUCCUGGGCCGCACGCGUGCUACACUGAUGCAUACAGCGAGUACUUUCCAGCUCCGCGAGGCAGCUGGUAAUCAGCAAUAUGCAUCGUGCUGGGGAUAGAUCUUUGGAAUUAUAGAUCUUGAGCGAGGAAUUCCUAGUAAGCGCAAGUCAUUAGCUUGCGCUGAUUAAGUCCCUGCCCUUUGUACACACCGCCCGUCGCUCCUACCGAUUUCGAGUGAUUCGGUGAACCUUUUGGACAGCGUCUGUCCUCGUGUCAGAUGCUGAAAGUCAAGUAAACCAUAUCACUUAGAGGAAGGAGAAGUCGUAACA
RNAcentral lists this ribosomal RNA (318 nucleotides) under uncultured eukaryote. RNAcentral describes it as "partial 18S ribosomal RNA". It matches the Rfam family "Eukaryotic small subunit ribosomal RNA", at positions 1470 to 1796 of the family's 1831-position model. The record is from RNAcentral.